Molecule: ribosomal RNA, 518 nt
Filed under: uncultured bacterium
Lineage: Bacteria
Description: bacterial SSU rRNA
Rfam family: Bacterial small subunit ribosomal RNA
Source: RNAcentral
AGUUUGAUUAUGGCUCAGGAUGAACGCUAGCUACAGGCUUAACACAUGCAAGUCGAGGGGCAGCAUAACGAAAGCUUGCUUUGUUGAUGGCGACCGGCGCACGGGUGAGUAACGCGUAUCCAACCUUCCCCAUAGUAGAGGAUAGCCCGGCGAAAGUCGGAUUAAUACUCUAUGUUGUAUUUUGAGGACAUCUGACGAAUACCAAAGAUUGAUCGCUAUGGGAUGGGGAUGCGUCUGAUUAGCUUGUUGGCGGGUAACGGCCCACCAAGGCGACGAUCAGUAGGGGUUCUGAGAGGAAGGUCCCCCACAUUGGUACUGAGACACGGACCAAACUCCUACGGGAGGCAGCAGUGAGGAAUAUUGGUCAAUGGGCGAGAGCCUGAACCAGCCAAGUAGCGUGCCAGGAUGACUGCCCUAUGGGUUGUAAACUGCUUUUAUGCGGGAAUAAAGUCAGGUACGUGUACCUGUUUGUAUGUACCGCAUGAAUAAGGACCGGCUAAUUCCGUGCCAGCCGCGGC